This 415-nucleotide ribosomal RNA is filed under the name uncultured bacterium. RNAcentral's name for it is "bacterial SSU rRNA". It matches the Rfam family "Bacterial small subunit ribosomal RNA", at positions 9 to 410 of the family's 1533-position model. The record is from RNAcentral.
GAGUUUGAUCUUGGCUCAGGAUGAACGCUGGCGGCGUGCCUAACACAUGCAAGUCGAACGGAGUUAUUCGAGGAAGUUUUCGGAUGGAAUUGAAUAACUUAGUGGCGGACGGGUGAGUAACGCGUGGGAAACCUGCCCUGUACCGGGGGAUAACACUUAGAAAUAGGUGCUAAUACCGCAUAAGCGCACAGCUUCGCAUGGAGCAGUGUGAAAAACUCCGGUGGUACAGGAUGGUCCCGCGUCUGAUUAGCCAGUUGGUAAGGUAACGGCUUACCAAGGCGACGAUCAGUAGCCGACCUGAGAGGGUGACCGGCCACAUUGGGACUGAGACACGGCCCAAACUCCUACGGGAGGCAGCAGUGGGGAAUAUUGCACAAUGGGGAAACCCUGAUGCAGCGACGCCGCGUGAGCGAAG